RNAcentral lists this ribosomal RNA (467 nucleotides) under uncultured bacterium. Its description in RNAcentral is "partial 16S ribosomal RNA". It matches the Rfam family "Bacterial small subunit ribosomal RNA", at positions 28 to 507 of the family's 1533-position model. The record is from RNAcentral.
GACGAACGCUGGCGGCGUGCUUAACACAUGCCAGUCGAACGGAAAGGCCUAGCUUGCUGGGUACUCGAGUGGCGAACGGGUGAGUAACACGUGGGUGAUCUGCCCCUGGCUUUGGGAUAAGCCUGGGAAACUGGGUCUAAUACCGGAUAUUCAUUUUUCCUCGCAUGGGGAUUUGUGGAAAGCUUUUGCGGUUGGGGAUGGGCCCGCGGCCUAUCAGCUUGUUGGUGGGGUAAUGGCCUACCAAGGCGACGACGGGUAGCCGACCUGAGAGGGUGAUCGGCCACACUGGGACUGAGACACGGCCCAGACUCCUACGGGAGGCAGCAGUGGGGAAUAUUGCACAAUGGGCGCAAGCCUGAUGCAGCGACGCCGCGUGAGGGAUGACGGCCUUCGGGUUGUAAACCUCUUUCAGCUCCGACGAAGCGCAAGUGACGGUAGGAGCAGAAGAAGCACCGGCCAACUACGUG